UACAGGGGGGCAAGCGUUGUUCGGAAUUACUGGGCGUAAAGGGCCAGUAGGCGGCCAACUAAGUCACACGUGAAAUCCCAGGCUUAACCUGGGAACUGCGUGUGAUACUGGAUGGCUUGAAUUCGGGAGAGGGAUGCAGAAUUCCAGGUGUAGCGGUGAAAUGCGCAGAUAUCAGGAGGAACACCGGUGGCGAAGGCGGAUCUCUGGGCCAUUACUGACGCUGAGGAGCGAAAGCGUGGGAGCGAACAGG
This 250-nucleotide ribosomal RNA is filed under the name uncultured bacterium. RNAcentral describes it as "partial 16S ribosomal RNA". It matches the Rfam family "Bacterial small subunit ribosomal RNA", at positions 524 to 776 of the family's 1533-position model. The record is from RNAcentral.